RNAcentral lists this ribosomal RNA (519 nucleotides) under uncultured Glomus. RNAcentral's name for it is "SSU rRNA". It matches the Rfam family "Eukaryotic small subunit ribosomal RNA", at positions 569 to 1092 of the family's 1831-position model. Lineage: Eukaryota; Fungi; Glomeromycota; Glomeromycetes; Glomerales; Glomeraceae. The record is from RNAcentral.
AGCAGCCGCGGUAAUUCCAGCUCCAAUAGCGUAUAUUAAAGUUGUUGCAGUUAAAAAGCUCGUAGUUGAAUUUCGGGGUUAGUAGAUCGGUCAUGCCACUGGUAUGUACUGGUCUCACUGAUUCCUCCUUCCUGAUGAACCGUAAUGCCAUUAAUUUGGUGUUGUGGGGAAACUGGACUGUUACUUUGAAAAAAUUGAGUGUUUAAAGCAGGCUAACGCUUGAAUACAUUAGCAUGGAAUAAUGAAAUAGGACGUUCGAUCCUAUUUUGUUGGUUUCUAGGAUUGACGUAAUGAUUAAUAGGGAUAGUUGGGGGCAUUAGUAUUCAAUUGUCAGAGGUGAAAUUCUUGGAUUUAUUGAAGACUAACUACUGCGAAAGCAUUUGCCAAGGAUGUUUUCAUUAAUCAAGAACGAAAGUUAGGGGAUCGAAGACGAUCAGAUACCGUCGUAGUCUUAACCAUAAACUAUGCCGACUAGGGAUCGGAUGAUGUUAAUUUUUAUGACUCAUUCGGCGCCUUAAC